RNAcentral lists this microRNA (22 nucleotides) under Oreochromis niloticus (Nile tilapia). Its description in RNAcentral is "oni-miR-10583". The record is from miRBase by way of RNAcentral. Lineage: Eukaryota; Metazoa; Chordata; Actinopteri; Cichliformes; Cichlidae.
CGUCUCGUCCUGGAUGUGAGCU